Molecule: RNase P RNA, 343 nt
Filed under: uncultured Dysosmobacter sp.
Lineage: Bacteria; Bacillati; Bacillota; Clostridia; Eubacteriales; Oscillospiraceae
Description: Bacterial RNase P class A
Rfam family: Bacterial RNase P class A
About the family: Ribonuclease P (RNase P) is a ubiquitous endoribonuclease, found in archaea, bacteria and eukarya as well as chloroplasts and mitochondria. Its best characterised activity is the generation of mature 5'-ends of tRNAs by cleaving the 5'-leader elements of precursor-tRNAs.
Source: RNAcentral
AACAGACAGUCGCGUGGGCAGGCUGAAAGGCCGUCCAUGAGGAAAGUCCGGGCUCCACAGGGCAAGGAUAACGGGUAACGCCCGCCGAAGGCGACUUCAGGAAAAGUGCAACAGAGAGAUACCGCCGUCAGGGCUUUGCUUUGGCGGUAAGGGUGGAAAGGUGCGGUAAGAGCGCACCCGACGGCUGGAGACUGUCCGUCGAUGUAAACUCUAUCCGGAGCAACACCGUGGUGGAAGCACAUGGCUGGCCCGGCCGCUUCCGGGAGGUGGCUUGAGCGUACCGGCAACGGUGCGUCGAGAUAGAUGACUGUCAAAUACAGAACCCGGCUUACAGUUUUGCUCG